RNAcentral lists this ribosomal RNA (375 nucleotides) under uncultured organism. Its description in RNAcentral is "bacterial SSU rRNA". It matches the Rfam family "Bacterial small subunit ribosomal RNA", at positions 526 to 896 of the family's 1533-position model. The record is from RNAcentral.
CAUGGGGUGCAAACGUUGCUCGGAAUUAUUGGGCGUAAAGCGCGCGUAGGCGGUUACUUAAGUCGGAUGUGAAAGGCCCUCGGCCUUAACUGAGGAAGUGCACCCGAAACUGAGUAGCUAGAGUACGGAAGAGGGUCGCGGAAUUCCCGGUGUAGAGGUGAAAUUCGUAGAUAUCGGGAGGAACACCGGUGGCGAAGGCGGCGACCUGGGUCGAGACUGACGCUGAGGCGCGAAAGCGUGGGGAGCAAACAGGAUUAGAUACCCUGGUAGUCCACGCCGUAAACGAUGGGUGCUAGAUGGUUUCUGGUAUUGACCCCGGAGGCGUCGUAGCUAACGCGUUAAGCACCCCGCCUGGGGAGUACGGCCGCAAGGCUA